CCUACGGGAGGCAGCAGUGGGGAAUAUUGGACAAUGGGCGAAACCUGAUCCAGCCAUGCCGCGUGUGUGAAGAGGUCUUCGGAUUGUAAGCACUUUAAGUUGGGAGGCGUUACCGACAGAAUAAGCACCGGCUAACUCUGUGCCAGCAGCCGCGGUAAUACAGAGGGUGCAAGCGUUAAUCGGAAUUACUGGGCGUAAAGCGCGCGUAGGUGGUUUGUUAAGUUGGAUGUGAAAGCCCCGGGCUCAACCUGGGAACUGCAUCCAAAACUGGCAAGCUAGAGUACGGUAGAGGGUGGUGGAAUUUCCUGUGUAGCGGUGAAAUGCGUAGAUAUAGGAAGGAACACCAGUGGCGAAGGCGACCACCUGGACUGAACUGACACUGAGGUGCGAAAGCGUGGGGAGCAAACAGGAUUAGAUACCCUUGUAGUC
Molecule: ribosomal RNA, 429 nt
Filed under: uncultured bacterium
Lineage: Bacteria
Description: partial 16S ribosomal RNA
Rfam family: Bacterial small subunit ribosomal RNA
Source: RNAcentral